GACGAACGCUGGCGGCGUGCCUAAUACAUGCCAGUUGAGCGCUGAAGGUUGGUACUUGUACCAACUGGAUGAGCAGCGAACGGGUGAGUAACGCGUGGGGAAUCUGCCUUUGAGCGGGGGACAACAUUUGGAAACGAAUGCUAAUACCGCAUAAAAACUUUAAACACAAGUUUUAAGUUUGAAAGAUGCAAUUGCAUCACUCAAAGAUGAUCCCGCGUUGUAUUAGCUAGUUGGUGAGGUAAAGGCUCACCAAGGCGAUGAUAGAUAGCCGACCUGAGAGGGGGAUCGGCCAAAUUGGGACUGAGAAACGGCCCAAACUCCUAAGGGAGGCAGCAGUAGGGAAUCUUCGGCAAUGGACGAAAGGCUUACCGAGCAACGCCGCGGGAGUGAAGAAGGGUUUCGGAUCGGAAAACUCUGUUGGUAGAGAAGAAAGUUGGUGAGAGUGGAAAGCUCAUCAAGUGACGGUAACUACCCAGAAAGGGACGGCUAACUACGUG
Molecule: ribosomal RNA, 497 nt
Filed under: uncultured bacterium
Lineage: Bacteria
Description: partial 16S ribosomal RNA
Rfam family: Bacterial small subunit ribosomal RNA
Source: RNAcentral